This 745-nucleotide long non-coding RNA is filed under the name Betta splendens (Siamese fighting fish). RNAcentral's name for it is "lncRNA (ENSBSLG00000016099.1)". The record is from RNAcentral. Lineage: Eukaryota; Metazoa; Chordata; Actinopteri; Anabantiformes; Osphronemidae.
UGACUCAAAGCGGCAUCUGCAUCCACCAUGUGGACCCAGAGGGACUUUUAUUUUGUUAGCAUCCGCUACACAGUUAGACGGACAGGAGCCUGUGGUUCCGGCCUUCGCCACUGGGGGGAGUCUUCCUCUGCUGAGCACCUGUGCCGGAACGCAGCGCCCGUUACACGGUAGCGCUGCUGAGGAACCGUGUGUCUAACAUGUCGUGUCUGUUAAUAUUAACAGAUCCACACCUGUUCUCAUUCAGAGGCUCUUUGGAUCGUCUGCGGGUUUCGCUCUACCAACUCAAGAUCCUCUGAGUAAAGCUGCCACCACCAAGAGUCACGUGCUAUGUUAGAAUUUUUAGUCUUCGGUCGGUUCUGAGCUCGAUGGAUUGGAACGUAUCACUCUGUCCAAAGACUACCCAUCAGACCCUGCUCUGUGGAUGCUUCCUGGUUCAUCACGUCACCUGCUUGGGUCCUCCGUGUACCUUCACCUACAUAUAACAUCUCCUAUCAUCACUGAGGCAUCUCCAGCAGCAACUGCCGGAUGCAACAUCUAUCUAAUGGAUAAAUUUAAAUGUGGAUAUAAUUAUUUUAAUAAAUAAAUACUUGAACUCAGUCUGUGGUUUUGGCCUUUUCUUGGGUCCUGCACAUCACAAAUGUAACACUGGUCCUUUCUGAACAAAAGCCAACCUAACAAAUUAUAAAUCUAAAGAAAGAGCAGACAAAUAAGUCUGAAUGUGUUAACAUUUGCAGGUCAGUUUGUA